Non-coding RNA from Camelina sativa (false flax), 1365 nucleotides. The record is from RefSeq and is a predicted model, not a curated record. NCBI's taxonomy places the organism in Eukaryota, Viridiplantae, Streptophyta, Magnoliopsida, Brassicales, Brassicaceae.
GAGAUGCUUGCCAUGAUUUCACUUUGAUGGUUGCUGCAGUAACGUCUUUAGCACUUGGGAUCAACACAGAGGUUUCUGAUUGUCGUCACAGCUACUGUCAGUGUCUACAUACAGUCUCUCAACAAACUUGAAUGAUGAAAAGAGAAAGAUACAUCUCGAGGUGACAAGAGGUGGAAGACGAGUGGAUAAAUCAAUCUAUGACUUCGUGGUGGGUGAUGUCUUGGCAAUCAAGUUCCUGCGGGUGGAGUGCUAAUAUCUGGCCACUCUCUUUCCCUUGAUGAGUCUAGCAUGACUGGAGAGCAAAAUCGUCUCAAUCUGAUUUUGGCAACAGUGGCGUUUCGGUAACAGCCACUUUUCUUGUUUUUGGACGAUACUCUUUUGCAUGGUUUCUCUGGUGAUUGAAAUUAUGCAAAACUUUGGUGACUCAUGAAAGGCAGAGAGUGUGUUGCUUGUUUUUUCCCAUCGCUUGUGGAUUGAAGAGGAAGAGAUGGUACAAGACUAGUCUUGGAGUUGGAAGUAUUAUAGGGGAGGAGGAUUCAAAGAUAUUAAGUUAUUUUCACCGAUGAUAGUUUCUUGUUUAUUUAUGUGUUACAUAUCUUGAUAGGGUGUCAAUGCAUGAUUCAAAUUACGUGUAGAUUUGAUAUUCCAAGAGGAGGGUGACUAAGCCAUGGCUGCCUGUCUCGCUCCUGCUAGGCUAUUGCCAACUCUUGUUUUCUUUAAAACGAGGGACUGCAAAUCUGUAACCUUGUCUUCUUUUGGAAUUACUCCUCAACAGCUUCUCAAAGGAUCACAACAAGCAGCAAUAUGGAUGGGCUUGUCAUAAGGUGAAUGGAGCACAACAAUUGUUCUCAUCAACAAUAUGGAGUGGCCUCAAGGAUUGUCAAAUACGCUCUAGACUAGCUUGUCAUAAUGUCACAACUCACAACAAUGGCUCCCUGCAGCAAUAUGGAGGGAUUGUGGAGGAUAAUGCUAUGAUGAUCGAUUGGUGAUUAAGGAGGAUGCUUCUAAUAUAUGUCGGUGAUGGAGGUGGUGCAAAAACCAACAGCUUGUAUCAUACCGUUGUCAAAGGAUCACAACAGUGGCUCCCUGCAGAGCAAUAUGGAGGGGGUUAAGAUUGCAGUUAUAUGAGACGUGCUUAUUAUAUAUGUCUGCUUAUUUCUUUAUCUCUUGUCUCUAGUUAACUUUGGUAUGCAAUUUUUUUUUUGCUGCAUCAGCCUCAAGGAUUGUCUAAUACGGCUUGUCAUAAUGUCACAACAAUGGAUUCCCUGCGGCAAUAUAGAGCGCCUCAAGGAUUGUCAUAUUCUCUCAGGACUACCAGUGAAAGGUAUCAGUUGAAAUGAUGAUGAUGAUGACUUGCUAAAGCGC